Molecule: ribosomal RNA, 993 nt
Filed under: uncultured bacterium
Lineage: Bacteria
Description: bacterial SSU rRNA
Rfam family: Bacterial small subunit ribosomal RNA
Source: RNAcentral
GGAAUGCUUGGGAAUCUGCCUCGUAGUGGGGGAUAACGUUCCGAAAGGAACGCUAAUACCGCAUACGUCCUACGGGAGAAAGGGGGGGAUCUUCGGACCUCUCGCUAUGAGAUGAGCCCAAGCGGGAUUAGCUAGUUGGUGAGGUAAAGGCUCACCAAGGCUACGAUCCCUAGCUGGUCUGAGAGGAUGAUCAGCCACACUGGAACUGAGACACGGUCCAGACUCCUACGGGAGGCAGCAGUGGGGAAUAUUGGACAAUGGGCGAAAGCCUGAUCCAGCCAUGCCGCGUGUGUGAAGAAGGCCUUCGGGUUGUAAAGCACUUUAAGCGAGGAGGAAGGUCCGUUACUUAAUACGUAACGGAAUUGACGUUACUCGCAGAAUAAGCACCGGCUAACUCUGUGCCAGCAGCCGCGGUAAUACAGAGGGUGCAAGCGUUAAUCGGAAUUACUGGGCGUAAAGCGCGCGUAGGCGGUUGUGUAAGUUGGAGGUGAAAUCCCCGGGCUCAACCUGGGCAUUGCCUUCAAAACUGCACGGCUAGAGUAUGGGAGAGGAAGGUAGAAUUCCAGGUGUAGCGGUGAAAUGCGUAGAGAUCUGGAGGAAUACCGAUGGCGAAGGCAGCCUUCUGGCCUGAUACUGACGCUGAGGUGCGAAAGCAUGGGGAGCAAACAGGAUUAGAUACCCUGGUAGUCCAUGCCGUAAACGAUGUCAACUAGGUGUUGGGGAACUUGAUUCCUUAGUGCCGCAGCUAACGCAUUAAGUUGACCGCCUGGGGAGUACGGUCGCAAGACUAAAACUCAAAUGAAUUGACGGGGGCCCGCACAAGCGGUGGGGCAUGUGGUUUAAUUCGAUGCAACGCGAAGAACCUUACCUACUCUUGACAUCCAGAGAAUCCUGUAGAGAUACGGGAGUGCCUUCGGGAAUUCUGAGACAGGUGCUGCAUGGCUGUCGUCAGCUCGUGUCGUGAGAUGUUGGGUUAAGUCCCGCAACGAGCGC